RNAcentral lists this unclassified non-coding RNA (306 nucleotides) under plant metagenome. RNAcentral describes it as "partial contains 5.8S ribosomal RNA, internal transcribed spacer 2, and large subunit ribosomal RNA". The stretch from base 1 to 106 matches the Rfam family "5.8S ribosomal RNA", at positions 49 to 154 of the family's 154-position model. The record is from RNAcentral.
CGAAAUGCGAUAAGUAAUGUGAAUUGCAGAAUUCAGUGAUUCAUCGAAUCUUUGAACGCACAUUGCGCCCGCCAGUAUUCUGGCGGGCAUGCCUGUUCGAGCGUCAUUUCAACCAUCAAGCCCCCGGCUUGUGUUGGGGACCUGCGGCUGCCCGCAGGCCCUGAAAAACAGUGGCGGGCUCGCUGUCACACCGAGCGUAGUAGCAUACAUUCUCGCUCAGGGCGUGCUGCGGGUUCCGGCCGUUAAACGACCUUCAUAACCCAAGGUUGACCUCGGAUCAGGUAGGAAGACCCGCUGAACUUAAGC